Pimephales promelas (fathead minnow) is the source of this 271-nucleotide non-coding RNA. The record is from RefSeq and is a predicted model, not a curated record. Lineage: Eukaryota; Metazoa; Chordata; Actinopteri; Cypriniformes; Leuciscidae.
UUUAGUUCGAGAAAGAUUAGGAACUGUCACGAGAAUCAUCAUCAGCACUUCCGUGUUCACAGACGCUUCUGAAGUCUGAAGACUGCGGACGUCUCAUCAUGAUCGUCAAAUUAAACGUCUGCUGUUUUAGUCUCUCUUUUAUGUUUAUGUGCUUGUAUGCGCAAUAUGUACCACCGUACACAGAAGAGUGCAGAAGUGGCAUGUAUCCUCCAAACGGACCAACGUGAGUAGGCUAUGACAACUGAAAUGAUGGAUUAUUCAUUCUGCAAAU